RNAcentral lists this unclassified non-coding RNA (324 nucleotides) under uncultured Cryptococcus. RNAcentral describes it as "sequence contains ITS2". The stretch from base 1 to 52 matches the Rfam family "5.8S ribosomal RNA", at positions 103 to 154 of the family's 154-position model. Lineage: Eukaryota; Fungi; Basidiomycota; Tremellomycetes. The record is from RNAcentral.
AACGCACCUUGCGCUCUUUGGUAUUCCGAAGAGCAUGCCUGUUUGAGUGUCAUGAAAAUAUCAACCUUGACUUGGGUUUUGUGCUCGAGUCUUGGCUUGGAUGUGGGUGCUUGCCGCUUUAACGAGCGGCUCACCUUAAAUGUAUUAGCUGGAUCUGUCUUUGAGACUUGGUUUGACUUGGCGUAAUAAGUAUUUCGCUAAGGACAUUCUUCGGAAUGGCCUCGUUUCUGGGACGCUUGUCCGCUUUCCAAUACAAGUUCCAUUCGUGGACAUGACUUUUUAUUAUCUGGCCUCAAAUCAGGUAGGACUACCCGCUGAACUUAA